Molecule: non-coding RNA, 6103 nt
Organism: Anas platyrhynchos (mallard)
Lineage: Eukaryota; Metazoa; Chordata; Aves; Anseriformes; Anatidae
Source: RefSeq, a predicted model, not a curated record
AAUAUUUGACAAUUUCCGCUUCCUUCAGGUUUGUACAGAUGUUCUCAGGAAACACCCUACUCACUGUAAGUUAGCAUUGCUUUGCUGAAGUCAAUGGCAUUGAGAUAAUUGUGCUCUGGAAUUUGAGAUUGCUCAUAUUGAUUUCAUUGAAGAUUGGAUGAGAAUUUACUGAUUUAAGAUAUUCACUUUUUAGUAUUACUAUGCUUCAAAUGUCUUAAUUCAGUUCCAAGCAGCCUCAUCUACUAUCACCACAAAUUUUAAUGAAGGCUAAAUGAUUUAUCAGUGGUAACUAGAGCUGUUGUGAGAAUCAGCCAUGAAGACAGGGAGUAGCAAACAGAAAUAAACCUAUUGUGUAUGUUCCAAAAGAAGAAUACUUCCUGCCGAUUCAAGUUUCUUGCAAAUUAAGAAAAUACGUAUAUGGCUCCUGAGUUCAUUCUCCAUGGGGAUUAAUGAUCCAAAAGGGACUCCUUGUACCACAGAGGAGUAAAUCACCCCUCCUACUUUUGGCCAGCAGGAUGUGACUGGGGAGAUAAAUGCUUUUGCAUUUCUCUGACCUUUGCUAUUGCUUCUUGGUAAAAGAUUUCCCUUUCUGGAAUUUGUUAAUAUAAGACAAAGACUCUUCCUCCUCCCACAUUAUGUGUGAGAUGCUUAAUUUCAUCAUCCUGGGGACAUAAAUUUGAGCUAGAAAUAGAGCAUGAGCCAAGCCCUUCUCUUGGAUUACCUGUGCUGAUCGCCUUCACAUGGGAUGAAUGAAACCUUUAAUUUCAAUUGUAUCUGACUCUUGUCAGAAGGUUCAUGACUGACUAGAGCAACAAUGUGGUGGCAGAGAUGGAUGAAACUGUUUUAAGUGUCAUUCCUAUAUAAGUAAAGAUCAGCUUUAAACACUGGGGGAGAAAACAAGCGGAGGUAGAACCACAUGGCAGUUUUAAGACAAGAUGCAGCCUAUAACAGCCAACUCUUCCCCCCUUCAUGACGUAUACUUCCUUCAAGGAAAAGGUCAUGGCUUCUCUCCCAGCUACUGCGAGCCUUCCCCAGGCAGGAAGCAUAUCCUGUGUCCUGUUUUCUCCAGGGGCCAGCAGCAGAGCAGAGGGGACCAUUGGCUUCCACUGUUCUGUUCUUAAAUGACCUAAGUACCCAAGCAGUGGGUAGAUCUCCCUCCCUUUCAAAUGCUGAGCAGCCCACCCCAGGCCUUUUCACAGUCCAGCAGCUGCUGGAGGUGACCAGAAGGGGAAAAACAAGCUAUUCCCUUUGGAGGCCUGGCUGACUAUUUUUAUCAGAUAUGAAAUUGCAGCAGUCACUGGGGGGGGGGGGAGUAAUUGUCUUGUGAUUAAAAACUGCAUCUGUGAUUUCUUCCUGAGGAGAGGGGUGCAUUUUCCUCACUGGAUGAGAAACUGGAACAUCUAGUACUGUGUGGCAUAUUAAGGUAGCAGCUUGCUAUCUGUGGGCAAAUGCAUCCAUAUCCCUAAAAGGAUUUGUACUUCUUCUCUCCCAUACUGGACAUAAUCCUGGGUGGGGGGAGGUGUAGCAAGAAAUGCAAAAUAAAGUCCCUUGGUAGGUGCAAAGUCAUGGCAAAACAGAUGUGGCUGAGGGCCAUAUAAUUUCUCCAGACUCCCAGGACACACAUCUCUGUCUUUCCCAUUCUUUCUGGGAUAUUUCCAGACCAUCUUCUAGUUAGUGGGAUUUGGUAACAAUUCAUCCCAGAGAUGAGAUGGGGAUACUGACACCUCUUCCCAUCUGGUACGGUAUCCAGAAAAAAAGAAAAAAAAAGAAAGUGAUUACCGAGAUUGUUUUGAUCCUGAUGGCACUGAGCUUUCUCCCCUAACCAGGACUUAAAUGCUUGCUGAGCUCUGCAUGGAAUUGCUGUAACAGCAGUGCGCUGAUGGUCUUGUUUCAGCCAGCAUCAGACACCUAAUGGAGAAUAAAAAGACAGGACAACCAUCUGGGGGGCUGAAGAAUAGGAAAUUCUUGAGAAAGAGUUAAUAUUUCAGUGUUUAAAGGGGUGUCGUGUUAUAAAAUUCUUUGCAUUUACCAGAGUUUCUCACUUGAAUUACUUUAACCACCUGCUCAGCGUUUGGCAGGAUUGGGCCUUACCUCCUCCUCUUCCCUCUUCUUGAAUGAGCUCUUUUACCUUGUAAUUGAAGGAAUUCAACCUUGGGAACUCAGCAUUGCUGAAAGCACAGUUUGUGUCAGGGAGCAAGGCAUCCCUCCACCUGGCUCCUGCAGGUAACCACAGUGCCUCCAGGAGCCACACAGAAAUGCAUGUGACUUUAUCCUCUCAUCCCUUUUAACAUCCAAUUGUGUAGCAGAAGCCAGUCCCAGAAAUGCAAAAGUAUAUUGCCUGAAGCUAUCCAUGCAACUCAGCACAGCACAAGGGAUGCCAUCAUGCUUAGCCUCUGUUUGCAAGCAUAAGAGGAUGAGGGCAGGGAGUUUUUGCCACUUCUUCUUCCCUUGUCAUUCAGUAGAGCUCCUUCCUAUCUGCCAUGUGAAAAUGUUCAGUGGAAAGCUUUAAGGAGCUACAGCCAGACUGCUGUGUAUGUUCCUUAUUUAUACAGCAUUUACAGCAUGAGUGGCACAAGGAAAGGCUACCAAGUAUCAUGAGAGUAACUUAGUGGAUUUAGAACAUAGUCAUUUAGGUCUUGGGUAGGAGGGAAUUAAAAUCAACAAGUCCUGUGAUAAUAGAGGCUGUUAUAUCCACUUCUUUUAAAUUUCUGUUCUAUCUAUGCAGAGGGAACCAAAAAAUGCAAAAGGGAUAUGGGCUCUUCUCUUCACUGAUUCAUAACAGAUACAUACUUGUGUCCAAGCCUUGCCCUGACAUGGAGUAGAGUGCAGCUCUCCCUGAAAUAAACUGCAGCUCACACAUAUCUUAGGGUGGAACUUGGCUCUUAAACAAAGUUUAAUGGGAGCCUGCUCUGGCUGAACUCUACUUAUGACUUCAUACUUUCCAGGGCUGUGCUGGUUUUUUUUUUUGUUGUUGUUGUUUUGGUUUUUUUUCCCCCUCUUUAUACUAAUAGGUGUUUCAGUGGGAUAACUUGACCUUCUGAUACUAUUCCAAAGCACACUUCUUUGGAGGCAAUGAUAAAUAGUUUGGGGAUGUUAUGAAAGAGCUUGUUAUCAAGCUUGUUAUCAAGCUCUUUCAUGAUUGUUCAAGAAGGCAGAUAUUUUCAGCCUGUUAGAAUCAACUGGUGAAUAAAUCUGGGGAUUGAUAAAACAGAGAGGAUGGGCAGAGGCUGUAUCUGGUGAUCUUAACACUGGACCCUUGUUUAAGCCAUGUUUCUAAUAUUGAUAAAAUUGAUUUUUUAAAAGCUUUUACCACUGGCUCAACAGUGCAGUUGGAAAGUGUGAGAGAUCUGCCACCAACUUCAAAGUGAGCAGAAGCAGCUUAACAGAGAGUGUUUUUAUGAAUCCCACCUUGCAUAUGUACCACUUUGUAUUUCACUGUGUGUUGGAACAAUGCCCUGCUUCGCUACAAGUGUAAAUGGGACCGAACAAUGCCCUGCUUCGCUACAAGUGUAAAUGGGACCGUAAUGACUGCUGCUGUGCAGCUGCAGAGUGUGGUUGCUGCUGAUUAAGCUAUGGCAAAGCAACAUUCCACCAGGAAGGCAGGGAGGGAGGGGCAGGGUCAGAGCUCUGCCUGAGGGUCCCUAUUUUUACAGCUGAGAGGUCCCUUACUUCUUAGUACAUUCCUAUGUAUUCUUACACUGACAAUACCAUGCCCUCAACUUUUGCCAAGGCCUUCUACAGCCACUAUAUUUCAAAGGAAUCACUUGGCUGUGAAAAAAAUGAGUUUUCAGUUCUUUUAAGAGCAAUCUAGCAAGGAAUUAUCUUGUUGUAUCCAGCUCUUUUUUACCUUUGUGCUUCGCUUUUGGGGAAACCUGUUUGUUCUGAGUGCAGAUAUGUAAUGUUCCUCACCUGCCUGAAAGAGCACUUCUGCCUUUUGCCCUUUCUGUCUGCACCUAGCACACCCCUUCUUGUUAACAGAGCAACCAAUAGUCAGACCACAUGGUAGUGACUUUGAUCAUUUUACCAAUAAAUAAAUAACCCCUGCCACCUUUUUAUAUUUUUUACUUUUUCCAUUGGGCCAGUUUUCUGUUGGAUCAGCUUGAAUGGAAAAGGGUUAGGAGCGAGAAUGCCCUUUUCAGCUGGAAUGUAAGCAGCCAGCUCAAAUCACAACAAUUCACUCUCAGCUUUCCUGCAUGUGUAUUUCAUACAUUUAGGAAAGGAACAGCCCAAAGGUUUUGCAGUAAGCCAAAAACAUGUUGAUCAGAGAAGUGCCUUAGCAAGCAUUUGUUGCUAUUGAAAAGUACCAGACCAUAUUUCUUUGCUUAAUGACAGACAUUAAUCCUCCACUGAAAUUGCCAGAAUUAUCCAAGCUUAAUCUGGCUUUAGAAGUUUAAAAUAUAGUCCAAACUAUAUAAAAAUGAGGCAUUAUGACCAAAAAAAGGAGCUGGAAAAAAAAUAUAUAUAUCAGUACUGUCCCUUUGGCUUUUCCUUUGUUGUUCAAACCACUAAAGACAUUCUUUAAAAAAAAAAAAAAAAAAAAAAAAAAGUCGAUUUUUUAAAUUGGUGACCAAAAUGUGAAUAUCAUCCCAUUACUUCCACCCACUACCAUUUCUGUUUUCAGUCCAGUUUCCUAAUGAAAUGAGUCUUAUAUGUUCCUGCUGUCUAACUGUCUGCUUAAUCAUCUGUUCAUCCAUCUGUCACUUCACAUCAAGAACUUUUGGAUCUACUAACCAGUGUCAACCAGAUUUGAAAGAGAAGCAGAAGCCUCAGAGAUGAUUAUGGUCCUCCAAGUUGUAUGAAAGUCAACAUUUGUCUACAGAGAGCCAUUCAAGUGAGCAGUAACACAAAAAUGGCUCCUUACUAGGAGAAUAAACUAAAGAAUGUUCUUCUCUAUGUAGGAAUAUAUUAGCAACAAAUUUUGGCAAGAUCAUGGAAUGGCUCUGGUUGGAAUGGACCGUAAAGAUCAUCAGACUCCAGCCAUCAGGAUAAGGUUGCUUCUGAAAAUAUGACUACAAUUAGUAGGCCUAAUGCAGACAUGUAAGGCACUAUUUAAGCACCUGUUGGAGAGAUCUAGCACUGCUUAUCAGUGCACGUCAAAGGCUCUGACUACCUUUUAGAAAGGCUAAGCCCCCAGGACAGGUUAGGAAAGGGAUGGCUGAGCAAUGCUAACAGUAAUGGUUGGGAUUUAUUUUCCCUAAUUAUAAUCUCCAGAAAUCUAGGCCUCUAAUCUAUGCUAGUAGUUGGCUUAAGUUGGGUAAAUUGGCUUCUUGGCUGAUAAGAAUGGAAGUUCCCACUCCCUCCCCCAGAAUUCAUCACACUUCUGCAGGAGCUGAAUGGAUUUCCCUGCAAGAAGGGGUGUCCUUCCUGCAGCACCUUCAGAUAUAGCAUAGAUUAUGUAGGCUCUUUUCUAGUGGCUAAACGUCUCAUCAGGCUAGUUAUUAUCUCUCCACCUACAUAGUACUGACUGUUCAUUCUUCAUUAGGAGAGAGGAACAUUAUUAAUUAAUUGCUAAUGAAUCUCAAAACAGUGUAAGUCCCUCACUGAAAAAUAUUCAGUAUAUGGUUUCAAUGCAGGUUGUUGGUGUUUGUUUGUUUGUUUGUUUGUUUUAAUGCUCAGCUCUGUUAAUGUGUUCAAUAUUCUAUUUGCCAAAUAAAGCCAGACAACUGUCCAAAAACAAUGGACAAGAGAGACUUUUUUCUUUCAUUUUUUUUUUCUCCCAACAAUUAUUGCACUAUCUGUCUAGAAUUCCUCAGAUGAAUGAUAGAUGCUGAAGAAUUUUUGUUAAAAUUGCUCGACUCAAUUCAGACAGAUUGGACUAAUACAUAAAUGCUUUUCAAAUAACAAAGCAGGCUUUGUCUUUUUUAUUGCAGCAGAUAGGCAAAAGAAAUCUGCAUGUUCAUUGCAGAAUCCUUGGAAUAUGAGAAAUGUUGUUACCCUGAGCUAUACUUGCCUUGCAAGUUUCUAAGAUGCAGACAUCGAGAACUCCUCAGCUGGAGCAGAUGUGGCUGUUAUUGGAGGUGUGAUUGCUGCAGUGGUAUUUGUCCUCAUUUGCCUAUUGGUUGUGAUGGUCCGGUACAUGUACAGGCAUAAGGGCACCUACCAC